RNAcentral lists this ribosomal RNA (223 nucleotides) under uncultured bacterium. Its description in RNAcentral is "partial 16S ribosomal RNA". It matches the Rfam family "Bacterial small subunit ribosomal RNA", at positions 524 to 747 of the family's 1533-position model. The record is from RNAcentral.
GACGAAGGAUGCAAGCGUUAUCCGGAUUCAUUGGGUUUAAAGGGAGCGUAGGUGGUCUUCUAAGUCAGUGGUGAAAUCUCUCGGCUUAACUGAGAAAUUGCCAUUGAUACUGGGAGACUUGAGUGUAGUUCCGUUGGCGGAAUAUGACAUGUAGUGGUGAAAUGCUUAGAUAUGACAUAGAACACCAAUUGCGAAGGCAGCUUACUACAGGAAUAUUGACACU